Molecule: non-coding RNA, 116 nt
Organism: Triticum aestivum (bread wheat)
Lineage: Eukaryota; Viridiplantae; Streptophyta; Magnoliopsida; Poales; Poaceae
Source: Rfam
UGCUAACUCCCUCCGUCCGAAAAAGCUUGUCCCUCAAAUGGAUGUAUCUAGCACCAAGUUAGUGCUAGAUACAUCCAUAGCUUGGGACAAGCUUUUCCGGACAGAGGGAGUACUAU